UAGUUAUCGUACAUCUGCCCACGCUUCCUCCCCGCCACGCCCCCUCCCCGCCACACUGUAAACAAACCCCCGGUGAUGACGGGCGGCAAGGUGGAUUUCGCCCUCAUCAGGGAGGCCACACGGCUGGAGCUGGUGAAGCUGCUCGACACUGUCCACGGAACCAAGGCCAUUGUGUGGGAUGAAAAGCUUGCAGGCCCCUUCAGCCAGGUGGCAGACUAUGCCUUCCUGCGCUCCCAUGACGUGUGCAAAAUGUACUACAUCAACAAGAGCAAACUGCCGACCAACAAUGUGGCCCACAUAAUCUUCCUCUCCAGGGCACACACGCAACUCAUGGACCUUAUCAACCAGCAGCUGAGAAUGGAGGAGGCCCUUGGAUCAGGGAGGAAAGACUACCACCUGUGGCUGGUGCCCCGAGUCUCCCUUCUGUGUGAGCAGCGGCUGGAGGAGCAUGGAGUCCAUGGCUCCUUCGCCUCCAUCAGGGAAUUGCCACUUCUGCUGUACCGCCUCGACAGUGACCUUGCCUCCAUGGAGCUGCCAAUGUGCUACCGGGACCUUCAGCUGUAUGGUGACCCGACUUGCCUCUUCUUGGUGGCCCAGGCACUCAUGACCAUCCAGGGCGUGUUUGGUCUUAUCCCCAAUAUCUACGGCAAGGGGGCAGCAGCCAAGCAGGUGUACGAGCUGAUGGUGAGGAUGAGACGGGAGAUGGGCGGCAAUGAACCCCAGGUGACGCCACAGAUUGACCAGCUGAUCCUCAUCGACCGCUCAGUGGACCUCAUCACACCUCUGGCAACACAGCUCACCUAUGAUGGGCUCAUUGACCAGUUUUUUACCAUAAAUAGCUGCACAGUCAAGCUGCCAGGUGAGAAGUUUGCGGCACAGUCCGGCUCUGACUCCACCCCAAUGGACAGCUCCUUCUCCGAGAUCAAGACAAUACAGCUCAACCCCUCCGAGGAACUGUACGCCGAGAUCAGGGACUGCAACUUCUCCGCCGUGGGUCCGAGGCUCUCCCACCACGCCAAGUCGGUGGUGACCCAGUACGAGGAGAGGCACGCUGCCAAGACCGUCGGGGAGCUGAAGGAGUUUGUGCAGAAGAUCCCACAGAUUGGAGUGUACAAGCAGAGUGUGGCAACCCACACGGCCAUCGCAGAGUUAAUCCAGGAGAGGAUCACCAAGGGGAUCUUCUGGCCUGCUCUCCAGAUGGAACAGGAAUUCUUAAAAGGAUUAGAUACUGAUAAAGUUAAUCCCUUUGUGGAGCAGUGUAUUGCGCAGAAGGAAUCCCUUAAUACCGUGCUGCGGCUCAUCUGCCUGCAGUGCACGGUCAACAACGGCCUCAAGCCCCGGGUGCUGGAGGCCUACAAGCGUGACAUUAUCCACACGUACGGCUACCAGCACUUCAUCACCCUGGAGAACCUGGAGAAGGCCGGCCUGCUGUACGCCCACCAGGGACGUAGCACCUACGCCGUCGUGCGCAAGACCCUGCAGCUCACUGUGGACGACGUCAGUGAGCACAACCCCACCGACAUCGCAUACGUCCACUCGGGGUACGCACCCCUGAGUGCCCGGCUAGUGGAGUUCCUGCAGGUGCCGGGGUGGCGCGCCAUCACGGGGGUGCUGCAGGUGUUGUCUGGCCCCACCCUCACCGAGACGCAGCAGCUGCCCAGCGCUCUCAGGCAGAGGAGAGGGUCUGGGGGCUCGAUGCACAGUGGGCUGGAGGGAGGCACGGCGCUGGUCUUCUUCAUCGGCGGCUGCACCUACUCUGAGAUUGCCGCCCUUCGCUUCCUCUCCUCCCGGGUGGACCAAGGUGGGCCGGAAUAUAUCAUCGCCACCACCAAGAUAAUCAACGGCAACACCUUCCUCGAGUCCAUCGCCGAGCCGCUGCCCACCUAGGCUUCCCUCGGGUGAAUACAGGCGAGGUGCUGGCUGGAUGGAAGCCUCAGGAAGACAAUGUGUCCGGGUUGAUGGGUGGCCUUCAGGACAGCAUGUGGGUAGUCUUAGGCCACUCGGCGGUGACUGAAAAAUCCCAGGUCGCAGCGUGCAGAUUUGAACCCGCGUCAUCCAGCACGUAGUGAAUGCGGGGCCUGCACGCUAACCACUCAGCCACCGCCUACCGUUGGAAGCUACCAUUGAUUUUUUGAGUCAGCAAUAACCAAUAUCAUUUCCAAUAGUCCAAUAGCCUGACCCUGUUCUGUACAAGAUUUCAACUAACCACUCUUACGGGUUAUUGGCUAUACUAUCUAAUAAUAGUUCAUGGUUUAGAAGCUGUCAUUGGGUUUUUGGGUUGUUAAUAACUGGCAUCUCUUAGUAAUGGAGAGCUUGGCAAGGCAUGAUAGUGGAGGUACAGUGCAUGGAUGAUCUAGACUUAAGAUUUGUUACUGCAUGUCUGUUGAAGGAAAGUUUAAUAGACUAAGUAAAUCGUAAAUGAUUAGAAGAGUAACCAAGAGUUGCCUGCUCUGUACAUGUAUGCAAGUAAGGCUUCAGAUGUAUAUUCUUGUUAAUAAUUAUCUAUACGACUUAAUAUAUUUUGUAAUUUUAUAUACUCGGACACAUGUAUUACCUCCUUUCAUACAUCAAUAAUGCUUGCUGGCUUCUCUUAACCCGGUAGCAGCGAGGAUCACAUUUCUUAAUGGUCCCUCUAAGCGAGAAAAAUGAGAAAAAAUCAUCUCUCACACAAACCAUUUCAUAAUAUAUAUCAAAGCAUUUGUGAUCAGUUUAUGCAUCAUCUAUUUUGGGGGGGUUAUAUCAUGGCACAAAUUUGGUCCGUCGCUGCUACACGGUAAAGCCACAAAUUUGGCCCGUCGCUGCUACCAGGUUAAUUAUGGUGAAUCAAGCAAUCAGGUGAAGGAGAUUAUAUUGUGUAGGAUCUGAGGGGGGUGGGGAUGCCAGACUAAGGUAUGUUUGCCAGCUUGAACACACCACUCCAUUUAGUACUCACUAGCUUAGAUUUCUGAUGCUCUGUCCCCUUCACCACACAAUUCAGGAAGAUUUCUGAUGCUCUGUCCCCUUCACCACACAAUUCAGGAAGAUUUCUGAUGCUCUGUCCCCUUCACCACACAAUUCAGGAAGAUUUCUGAUGCUCUGUCCCCUGCACCACACAAUUCAGGAAGAUUUCUGAUGCUCUGUCCCCUGCACCACACAAUUCAGGAAGAUUUCUGAUGCUCUGUCCCCUUCACCACACAAUUCAGGAAGACUUUACACUAAGGUUGGUAUUAUAAGACACUUUCGGUUCUCACAACUAUUUCGAAAGGUCAAAGAGGGGAUCAACUGGGUUCUAAUGAGUGUUUUUUGAGGUUCACGGUACAGAAGACGGGUCACUCUACCACCAAGAUCAUAAAACUACUCCUGAAAAUUACCCAAACUCGUACGAAAGCCUUGUCAAAUAUGUGAACUUGGGCGACGAAAUGUUUUGAAAUACAACUCUAAAUGCCUCAUAUAUUCUCAGGAUGUCUCAUAAACCCUUCCUGACUGCCAACUUUGUCAUAAACCUUCUCUGGGUCCGUAAAAGCAGCCAACAGCUUCUUGCUUUCCUCUAGGUACUUUUCAUCCAGCAUUUUCCGUGUAAAGAUCUGUGACCAUUUUCUCCAAUGCUUCGCCGCUCACAAGUUCACAUUUGAUAGGGCUUUCGUAUAAGUUUGGGGCAUUUCCAGAUGUAAUUAAAUGACCCUGGUGGUAGUUUGACCCUUCUCCUGUGCCCUGAACCUUAAAAAACACUCUUGAAAACCUGAUUGAUCUCCUUUUUGGCCUUUGGAAAUAGUUGAUGUGAUAGGCGGAAGCGUCUGAGAACACCGACUCUGGUCCACACAUCCCUAUCCUAAACCCACUUUUUAGUACUUCUAUCAGAAAAAAAAAUACUGGUAAACUGAGCUUAACCCGGUAGCAGCAGGGAUCAUGUUUCUUAAUGGUCCCUCCAAGCUAGAAAAAUGAGAAAAAAUCACCCCUCACACAAACCAUUUCAUAAUAUAUAUCAAAGCAUUUGUGAUCAGAUUAUGUAUCAUCUAUUUUGGGGGGUAAAUAUCAUGGCACAAAUUUGGCCUGUCGCUGCUACAUGGUGAAGCCACAAAUUUGGCCCGUCGCUGCUACACGGUGAAGCCACAAAUUUGGCCUGUCACUGCUACCGGGUUAAUUUCCUCUUAUAGUUUUCCUCUUUCCUUAUUUUGGGAUGACUUACCUGACUCUUUAUUCCAUUCCACUGUUUUUCUCCUUCCCUCUCCUCCUCGUUUUCAAUUAUUCUUUUGUUUUAUACCACGUCUCGGCUACAUAAAUGGAAUGGUGUACAUGGAGGAAUUGGCAGACAGACACAUAUUAUAGUUGACUGAUGGUGCAGUAAAGGUAGGAUGAGUUGAGUCCAUAUUGUUAAACGUAUUGGCACCUCAUAAUGACUGUUUGAAAAGACUCUCGUAGAAGUUGCAAGAUUUUUCAUGGCCUGUUUUGUGUUCCUAGCUACAGCUUUACGUAACUUCUGCAUCUUGAGUGGAAAAAUCGCCCAUGAGAACCCGGUUAGUAUACCAUGUGGCCUUGGGAAAUAGUUGUAGUGGAACACACACACACACACACACACACACACACACACACACACACACACACACACACACACACACACUAACUAUCACUGUAAGGGAUUGUCAAUGAAAAAGAGGAACAUUCUAGUGUAGGUUAGGUUAGGUUAGGUAAGGCAAAGUUAGCUAAGGUAAAGUUAGAUUAGGUAAAGUAAGUGAUUAACCCGAUAGCACCGAUGGGCCAAAUUUGUGCCAUGAUAUAAACCUCCCAAAAUAAAUGAUACAUAAUCUGAUCACAAAUGCUUUGAUAUAUAUUAUGAAAUGGUUUGUGUGAGGGAUGAUUUUUUUCUCAUUUUUUCGCCUGGAGGGAACAUUAAGAAACAUGAUCCCCGCUGCUACCAGGUUAAGAAUAUGAAACUGGGUUGGUAUUAGACACUUCUGGCUCUCACGUCAGUUAUUUCCAAAGGCCAAAUAAAAAGACUAUACAUAUUCUCAUGAGUGUUUUAACAUUCAUAGUACAGAAGCUUUGUCAAACUACCACCAGGGGCAUAAAACUACCCAUGGAAAGGCCCACAACUUCUAGAAAGGCCUUGUCAAAUGUGUGCAUGAGUGCCAAAAUCUUUAAGAAUAUGUCCCCAUAGCAUAUUGUGAGCUGGCAACACUUGAAUCAUCCUCAGCACUGUGCUAUUAGUAAGUAAGGCUAUUGAAGCAGUGUAUUGUAUAGUACUAAUUUAAGAUGAUCACAAUGUUAGGCAAUUACAGAGAGAGAGAGAGAGAGAGAGAGAGAGAGAGAGAGAGUGUGUGUGUGUGUGUGUGUGUGUGUAAAAAAUACAUUCCAUUAUCACA
Molecule: RNA transcript, 5339 nt
Organism: Eriocheir sinensis (Chinese mitten crab)
Lineage: Eukaryota; Metazoa; Arthropoda; Malacostraca; Decapoda; Varunidae
Gene: car
Gene name: vacuolar protein sorting-associated protein 33A-like
Exons: 12
Source: RefSeq, a predicted model, not a curated record